This 253-nucleotide ribosomal RNA is filed under the name uncultured bacterium. RNAcentral's name for it is "partial 16S ribosomal RNA". It matches the Rfam family "Bacterial small subunit ribosomal RNA", at positions 524 to 776 of the family's 1533-position model. The record is from RNAcentral.
UACAGAGGUCCCAAGCGUUGUUCGGAUUCACUGGGCGUAAAGGGUGCGUAGGCGGUCGGGUAAGUCUGAUGUGAAAUCUCCAAGCUCAACUUGGAAAUGGCAUCGGAUACUAUUCGGCUCGAGGAAUGGAGGGGAGACUGGAAUACUUGGUGUAGCAGUGAAAUGCGUAGAUAUCGGGAGGAACAUCGAUGGCGAAGGCAAUCACCUGGGCCUGAACUGACACUGUGACACGAAAGCGUGGGUAGCAAACAGG